RNAcentral lists this ribosomal RNA (389 nucleotides) under uncultured eukaryote. Its description in RNAcentral is "SSU rRNA". It matches the Rfam family "Eukaryotic small subunit ribosomal RNA", at positions 587 to 972 of the family's 1831-position model. The record is from RNAcentral.
AGCUCCAAUAGCGUAUAUUAAACUUGUUGCAGUUAAAAAGCUCGUAGUUGGAUCUCAGGUGCCGGCGGGCGGUGCGGCUUCUUCGGCCGUUAACUGCCCAACGUCCCUACCCCUCCCGGCUCUCUUCCAGCGGUUCUCUUCACUGAGCGCUGCUGGUGGCUGGGACGUUUACUUUGAAAAAAUUUAAGUGUUCAAAGCAGGAACGUGUAGCCCGAAAACUAGUGCAUGGAAUAAUGGAAUAGGACCCCCGUUCUAUUUUGCUGGCUAUCGGAACAGAGGUAAUGAUUAACAGGGACGGCCGGGGGCAUACGUAUUGCGGCGUUAGAGGUGAAAUUCUUGGAUCGCCGCAAGACGACCUACUGCGAAAGCAUUUGCCAAGAAUGUCUUCA